AACGCUGAAAGCAUCUAAGUGUGAAGCCCACCUCAAGAUGAGAUUUCCCAUUUCUUUAAGAAAGUAAGAUCCCUGAGAGAUGAUCAGGUAGAUAGGUCAGGAGUGGAAGUACAGUGAUGUAUGGAGCGGACUGAUACUAAUCGAUCGAGGACUUAACCAAU
RNAcentral lists this ribosomal RNA (161 nucleotides) under Enterococcus faecium. Its description in RNAcentral is "partial 23S ribosomal RNA". It matches the Rfam family "Bacterial large subunit ribosomal RNA", at positions 2767 to 2925 of the family's 2925-position model. The record is from RNAcentral. Lineage: Bacteria; Bacillati; Bacillota; Bacilli; Lactobacillales; Enterococcaceae.